AAAGAUAGAGGUUUGACUCCUCUUUUUACCA
This 31-nucleotide transfer RNA is filed under the name Bos primigenius (aurochs). Its description in RNAcentral is "partial tRNA-Tyr". The record is from RNAcentral. Lineage: Eukaryota; Metazoa; Chordata; Mammalia; Artiodactyla; Bovidae.